Molecule: long non-coding RNA, 1185 nt
Filed under: Lactuca sativa (garden lettuce)
Lineage: Eukaryota; Viridiplantae; Streptophyta; Magnoliopsida; Asterales; Asteraceae
Description: long non-coding RNA (LSAT_LNC007575)
Source: RNAcentral
UAGGACCUGAAAAUGAAUAAAAGUUUAUUUUGUAUAUAUGAUAACUAAUAAAUGUUGGUAAUUUUGGUUUAUAGGUAGGAGUUGGUAUAAUAUUUCUAAAGAAAGAGAAGAGAUGAUAUAUGAUAUAUGAUAUAUGAUAUAUGAUAUAUGAUAUAUGUAUGUAGUUGUUUCACCUUCAUCAUCUCCACUCCAGCAUUGAGAGUUGAAAGCACAGGUGAAUGAAUAUUCAUUCAUAUACAACAACAGCUGGGAAGAAUAAUAUUUAUAUAUGAUGAAUUUCUAGAUUUAUUAUUUGUUUUUUUUUUUUUUUAACUUUUCGUAUUUUGUAAAGUAUUAUUAUUAAUGAUUAUUUUGUGUUAAUUCUCUCGCAUUUAAAUGUAUGUAUUUUCUCAGCCCAUAAAUUUCUGGUCUUGAUAUAGUAUGGCUUUGAGGUUAUGCAUGUUUUCUCAUUUUUCUAUAUGCUGAUUGCAUUAGCACUUUGUAAAGGUUUUGAUCUUUGGUAAUUCGAGGAACAAUUUUAGAACAGUUGUGAAAUGAACGGCAACCUCCUUGGCACCAAGUUGUAUCGAAUUUCAACAACUAUUUUUUUUAUCUGCAAAACGACCUUUUCUCAUAUAGAUUUGAUGUUUUCAUAAAUGUCAUCUACAAAAAUAACAUAUGUGUUUGAGAAAAUAUAGUUUUCUCAAACAAAUUUUACUGUUUUGGCAGAUGCGAAAAUAAAUAUUUUGUUCGAAAAACGAUAUUUUCUCUCACAAAACUAACAUUUUUGCACAUAAAAAUAAUGUCGUUUGGUAUGGAUAUCACGAAGCCAUUCGUGGUCCAGGUGGCCACGGUUGUUGUCCAUGCACACCAUCCCGGUCCUCUUGUGGUACUCAUCUGGAACCACAAUCGUGGUCUCUCAUGUUGGCCACCACAAUUCACCACAGAUUCUUUCUUCUCUCUUCCUCUCUUCUUCUCUCUUGCAGCUUAAAUCCACCACGACCACCUUCCUUCGUUGUGAGUAUACCGGAUUGAGAAUGGAAGAAAGGUUGAAGAAGAAGAUGAUGAGGUGUAUACACACCAUAAGCCUUCUCGUGGUGUGUAUACUUGAAGGCCUAACACUUUCGCAGAUGACAUCUAAGAAAAUGUCAGCUAUGUCCGAGAAACUAUGUACUUUUGCAGAUGGGUCUAACAUUUUCGUCCGAG